UGGGGAAUAUUGGACAAUGGGCGCAAGCCUGAUCCAGCCAUGCCGCGUGAGUGAUGACGGCCUUAGGGUUGUAAAGCUCUUUUACUCGUGAAGAUAAUGACUGUAGCGAGAGAAUAAGCUCCGGCUAACUUCGUGCCAGCAGCCGCGGUGAUACGAAGGGAGCUAGCGUUGUUCGGAUUUACUGGGCGUAAAGAGUUCGUAGGCGGUCGAGUAAGUCGGGUGUGAAAAUUCUGGGCUCAACCCAGAAAC
Molecule: ribosomal RNA, 249 nt
Filed under: uncultured Hyphomicrobiales bacterium
Lineage: Bacteria; Pseudomonadati; Pseudomonadota; Alphaproteobacteria; Hyphomicrobiales
Description: uncultured Rhizobiales bacterium partial 16S ribosomal RNA
Rfam family: Bacterial small subunit ribosomal RNA
Source: RNAcentral